Long non-coding RNA from Mus musculus (house mouse), 10245 nucleotides. RefSeq annotates it as predicted gene, 33710. Lineage: Eukaryota; Metazoa; Chordata; Mammalia; Rodentia; Muridae. The transcript is spliced from 3 exons. The record is from RefSeq and is a predicted model, not a curated record.
CAUAUUCUUCACUGUCCCAGGCUUGCAGGGACAGCUAGCAUCAGUCUCCCCAUCCUGUUCCUGAUUUGUUUUAUUUACCUACCCAGACUUCUUACUGCUCAUUUGUGUACUUAUUUCCUGUCUGUCACCUCUCAGUCACUUGGCAAACAUUAGCUGACUACCUGCUCUGUGCCUGGUAUGUCCUAGGUGCUAAGGAUAUGACAAUAGGGACACACAUCUCUGUAUUAGUGGAGCUGGUGUGGUGAGAAGCAAUAUGCAGGUAUAAUAUGCAGGCUGCCAACAGGUGAUGGGUGCUGUGGGAGAAAAGGGGAGAUGGAUCAUCAAAGGGAUGGCUUGUCAUUACAAGUGGAAUUAUCAAGGGAAACCUCCUCUGAGUACCGGUAGAAGAUGGAGGUGGGCAUGGGGUCAUUGGUGCUCACUGACAGUUCUUGUCAUUGUGAAGCAGGCACAAAAGAAUUAAGGAAGGAAGGUGUUAUAAAGGCUAACCCUUUGUUCUUUCUCUUUUCUUUUCUUCUUCUUUCCUUCCUCCUUCACUUUCUCCUUCCUUCAUCUUCCUUUUCUAAUGUGCUAGAGAUAAAACCUAGGACUUUGCUUAUUUUGCAAGCAGUGGACAAGUUCUAAUUCCAGUUCUAAUUCCUUUAUUUUAACCAAAACUUUCAGUUUAAGCUAAUCGUAAGUCCAUAUACAGUUAGAAGGAUCACUUCCUUUAUGCAGUUUUCCCCAGGGGUGGCACCUUACAUACUAUGGCACAAUUUCAAAGCCGGGAAGUGGACACUAUUAUAAGCUACUGAUAUGGGGCAGGCUUCAUCAGUUUUGUUGACCUCACUGAGUAUUGCACAUGACUGUGCAAGCCUGGGCCCCUCAGCUCUAGGCAGUAUUAACGGGUGUUUUCUCUUCGCUGUCCAAGUUAAAGGGUCGUUUGAAGGGUUUAGAGCUGCAGAAAAAGCAGGGCCAAGUGACUCUGGGUGGUCAGCUUGCCUGAGCUCCACUUAUCCGGGCAGCCAUCUGAGAAGACAGCAGAAGGUGCCCUCACCUUACAUGUGUGGAAACACAGUGGGAACUCUUGGAAGUCCCCACAACUGACGGGCAAAGAAACCUGCCUUCAAUCCAACUGUUCUUUCUGGGGGCUCUUUCUGAAGCCAAGAAUUGCAGGAUGAAAAAGAAGACUGCAAAGGACUUAGUGAACAAGGGGGAAGACAGGUUCCAGGGAAUAGGGUGAAGAAAUGAGGCAGGUGUCUCGAAAGAUGCUUCUGGGGUUCUGAGUCAGUAUCCAUGGGGAGCUUAAAGAACAUUACAGGGCUCUAGAGAAGAAAUGGUGAAGUUGUCACUUAAUGUGUUAAUUGGACAAACCAUACCCCUGUAAUUCAUACUCCUCACACGAAGACUGGGAGUGGCCCCCUAUUCCACCCAUGGCUUGUAUGCUUCACCCCAGAUUUUGUAUGUUGAAAUUAACCUGCAAGAUAUUAGAAGGUGGGGCCUGGGGAUGCAUGUAGUGGUGGGAUUAGGACCCUUAUGAGGUACUGAAGAGAUCUGAGUUCUCUUGCCUUCUACACAGUGGAGUGCUACCAACUAUGAACCAUGAAGCCACUCCUCAGCAGGCACACCAGAUGCUGACACCUUGAUCUUCCCAACGUCCAGAACAGACAGAAACAUAUUCUCUGCUGAUUUUGAGAUAGCCAACCCAGGCCAUUCUGUUAAAGCAGCACAGACAGACUUAACAAACACCCAGAGCUGUACACAACAAAGAAAAGGAGAAGAGGUUUUUUUUUUUUUUUUUUUUUUUUUGCAAAGCACAAAUGCUAGUCCAAUUGCCAAAACCAGAUAGAAGGAACCCAAGCUGACGGCCCAGCCUGUCUGCAGCCUAUGACUAGGAAGCCUGGCUGGCUUGCCUGGGAUUGAAAACACAGAAUUUAGGUCAGCACACAUAGAGGCUCUGGCUCUGUUUAUAAGAAACAGAGAGUGUGUGUUCCUAUUAAACGCCUUUGAAUCCCAGUGAGAGUGGGAGACCCAGGGCUGUUUACGGCUUUGGAUAUUUACUUUUCUCAUAUACAAAUCAGCUUGGGUGCCGUCAGAGCUGACGCCACCUCACACUGUGGCCCUCUGACGUCCUGGCCCCUCCCAAUGCCCCACACAUGGUUUGAAUUUAUUGGUUUUAGCAGAUUUCAUUUAUAUUGUGUGAGGAUCGUGGAAUGACCAGCAAACAGAAGCUCUGAUCCAUGCCCUGGAAAAAAACACAGAAGCAUGAGGAAGAAGGCUGGCGGGGAGGGCUGGCAAGAUCCCUUCCAUGCAUGAAACAGCUCCCACUUAUGGGAUGGGCCACCGUGGAAACAAGGAAAAGGUGUGAUGAUGUCACUGUCUGCAUGGCUCCACGAUGGUCGUGGCUAGAGCCAUUUAAAGCCCAAAUGCCUGGUGCUACAGCAGAGCAUGCAGGUGACCACUGCCCUUCUUGACAUCUAGAACUGAACAUCUGGAACAUCAGUGGUGCUGAUUGGCACAAGGUGGGGAGUUGGGGCAUUCUGCUUUUUCAUCCACAUGCUCAGCAGAGGACAUGGAGAUGUGCCUGCUAGUUUUACACAUAACCCCUGAGCAAGUGCUUACAGUCAGGCCCUGAGGGAACUCCAGGUUAUUAGAUGAGGUUCCUAUCUUCAGAGAAGUCAGAAUAUAAACACAUAACCAACAAAAUGCCACUCUCUGUGGAGGGGGUUCAGAGUCAACAGAGGAGGUGGGUAUGCAGAAGGGGUGUGCGGUUUCAGGUUUACCAACCCCACACCACUAAAGGGAUUUAGCUAAGGGAAAGCCUGCCUUGGUACACACCAUCAGAUAUAUAACCAGAGCUCUUACUCAGCAUGGAUGGUAGGCCUUCCUGUAUCCCACUUCUGCUCAGGCAGCAUUCAAAUAACAGGGCUCAGCUCACUCCUACUGUGAAAAGGUGACAUUCCCCUCAACCUGCUUUUAAGCAAACCCUAUGAAAUUCAUGGAUUGUGUGAUCCCUGGCAGCUAUGUUAGAAAUGGUGGUGAGAGUCAGGCUUUCCCCCAAAGGCCCUGUAAUAAAUAAGCUUAGCUGGACUCGUUCAGACACCAGCUUGCGGCACCAUCUAAGGGCAAACAUGACUGAGAGUUCCAGAAGCUGGGAUCCCCGCUGUGGGACAGCAGUAGGCACAUCCUGGAUCCGAAAGGUCAGGUGACAGAGCUGCACAGAACAGAAGUUUUCUCUGGCUAAAGGGCUUGGCAAUGCACAGGCAAGCCUGGGUGAGGUGUUCCAGUCUGAGACCCAUGAAUAGAUGAACCAGUGAGCCAGUCAUUAAUCAGAAGAACUUCUGAAAUGCAGAACACAAUCAUGGAGUUCCUGCCAAUGCACCCGAGCUUAAGCCUGAUCUUAGCACGAUUGACAGGGCUCCACUGGACACGUGUGUCUCUGCAUCUGUGUCUCCGUGGCCCCCACCAAGUGUGUACUCUGUGGUGAGUAAUGACAUUCUCUCAGUCUGGAUGAGCAUUUCCACCCUCACCUCACCCCAUACCUGCAGCUGCCUCUGAACCUGGAGAUUGCCACUGGCCCUUCAGUACUGAGCUUAGGUGGCCUCAGACUAAAGCCCAUCCAAACCUUCAUGUGGGGCUAUUUGCCAUGCUCAUAGGAGAAUCUGCAGCCAUAAAACACUUCUGGAUAACAAGAUGCAGCCUUAGCCCUUUUGGAAGCAGGCACAGGACCUCUAGGUGACUUGAACCCUAGUCAAGCCCCUGCCAUCUGCAGGUAGUACUUAACAGUGAUUGACAGCUGGCAAGUAGCACUCUGAGCAAUUGAUCUCUGUCCGGCAGAUCUCAUGGAGAGUCACAGGGAGUCACUCUCAGGGUCCUGACUGCUAUGGCACACAGCAUCUCAGGGCAACAUCCUAGCCAUCCACACAGCAGUUGCUAUGGAUGUGCAGUCUCCAUGUCCUUUGCACUCUUGUCCUGAGCAUAACUGCCAUCCUUUGCCUGUCAGGUUUGGCCUCUGCCCUUAGUCCUGAAUUCUAUUUCCCUCACCCAGUUCCUGGAAAGCAGACUUCCUCAGGAUGAAACUCAGCCAUCUCCCAACCUCUAGCACUGCUCAUUGUCAGACUUUUGAGUCUCAGAUGAAACCCCUGUCCCUUCUGGAUCACAUUCCCUCUUUCCAUGAGAUGCAGAAAGGAAGGUAUAGGCUCCACCACCAGACUUGUAUGGCUUCAAUUCCAGACCCUCCAUUUAUUUGCUGUGCGACUCCAGCAAGUAAACCAUCUCUCAGAGCCUUCUUCAUGAUCCAUGUAGGAAGCUCCAAUCUACCUGAAACCUGAUUUGAGCAGGAAGUGGACCAGUGCACAGAAAGGACUGAACUGUGCUUCACACCUCUAUUGUCACAUCAACUCCUCCCCUUUUCACCACCCCCACUGUCAUCUUGCACCCCCAGCACCUGGAAUUGAGUCAGGCCAAUUCCUAGAAGUUCAAACAUGGAUAGAUGAAGCAUUUUAAAAUAACUAAACUGGUCGAGGAAGUAUUUCCAGGAACUUCUCUUUAGGAAAAAGCAAAAAAUCAAAAGAGGAAAAAGGAGAGACAGACAGACAGACAGACAUAGAAAGAAAGAAAAAAACCCCAGAAACUACACAUAGCUCAGCAGUGCUAAGAGUAGAGAUCUCUUGUUAAUAAAGUUCCCCUAGGCUUUACUCCCGUUGUCCCAGUAGCUCUGAGUUGAUGCUGUUUAUUAACUUGUCUAAGCAAUGGAGAUAAAGGAUGAUGAUGAGACAAGAACGGGCCCCUCUCCCAUAACCAUCAGAACCCAUGACACCACUGAGCCUCCAACCUGAACCUCUCAAAACCUCUUUUCAGCCUAUCCCUGUCCUGGGGAACAACUGGAGACCAGGCAAUGCUGAGCCAGAGCAGAUUUGGUCAGAUCUUGCAUACCACAGACGGUCAUGACCACAGGGUGGUCAGACCACAUAGUUCCCAUCAGGCUGACCAAGCAAACACAGUGUGUGAGCAUGGCAGACCAAGCAUAGGGACAGAAAACUGUCUUUAAUUUAGGAUGGGCUUCUGAACCUCAGUACACAGGCUGCCUGACAGAAGACCAUCAGUUCUAACUAAAAUCACCACUAGACCACCACAGCUAACACUCUCAGCUCACAGGUAUCACUGGGCCCUCACAGCAACCUCGGUGGGGUGAGCUCCAUGCUUCUCACCCAGUCAAAGCAGGGAGCUCCAGUCCAGUUUCUUAAUUAAGGCAUCAAAACAUUUAAGCUUAAAUCUAAGUGUCCUUAUUUGUAUAGAAGUAUUUUAUUCUCAAUUUCCUUAAAAUUGGGGAAAUAACACCUUCCAGGUCUGCUUCAGGAAUGUACUGUGGUAAACCUGAGGCCUAGCACAGAAUAGAGAGUAUCUCAGAGUAGCUAUCUUGAGAACUGGAGAGACAGGGAAAAGAUAAAGCAAGAGGAUGGGCGUUGGAAGGAUUUCUUAUUCCGGCUUUCUACAGUUUCCCAUCCUGGCACCUUCUUCCUGGACCACCCUUUCCAUUCCCAUCUCUAAGAGCACUUCAAAGCCACCUCCACCAAGAGGCUGGCAUUCCUUUCUCACCACCCUCCCAGCAAAACUAUUCCACUGGAAGCCAAGAACAUAAAAUUGCCUCGAAGACCAGCAGCUGGCCUCAGCAUGAGGACUCCACUGUGGGGUCAACUAAACAUCCCAGUGAAGAUCAAGCACAACGACUGAGUGUUGUGGCUGGAGGUGUCCCAAAGUACAUCAGUUUAUCCAACCCAUGACCAUCCCACAGCUCUUCAAGCUGCAUAUAGAGCCUAGUGCUCAAAAGGGCUUGUCAUCUAGUGAUGCCACAUCUACACUGCUGGAGAUCGAGGGACACACCCAAAGUCCCAAUCCCUGAUCUGAGUGACUGUCAAGCAAAUCUAGCUCAGUAACCACACAGUGAGGAAAGGGGGGGGCAUGGGGGUGGUGUCCUAGCUGUUCUGGGACAGAAGGAAAAGCUCUAGAGACCACAUGCAACUGGGACAUAAAUAGAUGGAAAGGUUGUUGUCAGGUAGACUUUUGUUACUUCUCAAUCUUAAGGCCAACCAACUCAAAGAAGGGAACCCUAUGGGAAAUAAGGCUUUUAAAAUAAGCCAGAUUUUUUUUUAAGACAGAUUUUUCUCUGUAUAGCUCUGGAUGUCCUCGAACUCACUUUGUUUUAUGUAUGUGAGCACACUGUCUCUCUCUUUAGACAGACCAGAAUUGGGCAUCAGAUCCCAUUACAGAUAGUUGUGAGCCACCAUGUCAUUGCUGGGAAUUGAACUUACAUUCUCCAGAAAAGCAGUCAAGUGCUCUUACCCGCUGAGCCAUCUCUCCAGCCCAUAGAACUCACUUUGUAAACCAGGCUGGCCUCGAACUCAGAAAUCCACCUGCUUCUGCCUCCCAAGUGCUGGGAUUAAAGGCGAGCACCACCACCUCCUGAUGAGCCAGCUUUCUAAUUGGGCUUUCUCCAUUCUAUCUUUUUUUACUAAAUGGGUCUUUCAAAUGGGACUCAAGGUUUAAAUGAUGCUUAAGGCACACUAAGACCAUAGAGAUAAUAUACAGCAGAAAACCUUAAAUACCCUUGAUAGGAUGGAAGGAGAGAAGGAUUGGAUGGGGUUUGUGAGGUGUUGCCUUUAUCUUUGUACCAGGGAUUCUGGGCAGGGCUGUACUCUCCCACCCUGAGGAAGGAGUCUCAGAGGUGCCUCUUGGCUACUGGGAGUGCCCUACUGUCAGAAGUGUGGGGGAGGGGGCUGUUCAGUGCAUACUGUGUCCUCAAGCUUAAUUUCUGGCUUCUCUCUGCCUGAAAAAGGAAGCACCCCCCAAACAUACACAGGCACACACCAUUGUGUGUGUUCUUCAUGCCCAUCUCUAGCACAUAUCACAUAUAUCAGGCACACAUAGGAGCUGGAAACAUUUCUGGAAAAGAACUGUACACGGAUUAUGAUUUUAAAAGUGAGAAAUCAAAUACUAUGCUAUGGAGCUUUAGACCAGUCAACCCUCAGAGUACCCCAUGAGGCUGACAGACAAGGCAACAAAGACAAAGAUAGGGUGUGUAACUUGCCUGAAAUUACUUGUGGUCCUAAUAAGUACAUGAACUGCUUCCCAAUGAAGGGUGCUCCUGAACUGAAUCUGUCCCAUGUUGUCUACGUGACUUUAGGUAGAAAUGAAUAUGGGCUUCUGAGGGUAAAAUCUAACCAGGAUGCUGCUGAAAUGACAGAGAACCAGGGAGCCUUAUGCCAAGAACACAAAUUCCCAGGUCAUGGCAAAUGGAAAGGAAACUUUAAAUGUUUCUUCCUGCCCUUCUUGACCUACGGAAAGAAAAGAGCCUAGGAAUAAAAGGUGAGCAAGCCAGGGCACUCAUGAUUGAAAGAUGUCCUGCACUCCCCGCCAGACAGGGGAUGCUAGCAAGGUGCUGCUGGCAGAUUCCCCUGGGAUAGUGAGAAGAAACAUAGCCCCAGCAAUAGGUAUAGAGUACACCUAUGCCAAGUUCAAGGUUGUCCUGCAGAGAUGGUCCUGGGGCUCAGACAUGUACGGGCCUCCUCUAAUGACUUCCUGCCUCUCUUUAAGGGUAGCUACACAUUCAAAGUGGGCCAAGUACAACCUAUCUAUCAGGUCUUUCAAAACACAGUGCUAAUAGCCAGCCAGAUUGUUGCACCUAAACUUAAAAUACUAAACUGUCAGAUGAUGUUAUUCCAUAACCCAGUGACCAAAGAUACGUCUUUCUGUGAAACAGCGCUUGCUUGAAAAAUGCAGGCCUUUAACAAGGACAACCCAUUCAGGUGAGAAGGAGCUAGACAGACAAUAAAAACUGGGAAGGGUCCUCAAGCAACAGGGAAAGGAUAAGAUGAUGUAUGGAGCCAUGACCAAGGACUAUAGUGAAGAGGGGAGAGGUUCUAUAGCUUCUAUAGCUCAGUGUUAUUGGAGCCUCAAAACCAGAGGAUCACAGAAAGACCAAAUUAGAUGCUUGGAUGUGAAAAGACAUUGCAGGCAGAUGAACCUGGAGGUGCUCUGGAACUCCUGGUAUGGGGGAGCGGUAUUUUGAUCAUAAAUGCCAAAUAAGGAAGAGAAAAUGACAAUGUCUACUAGGUUAGAGAGUGGUGAGUCUAAGAGGGAUUCAUGAAUGCCAGGGACAGUGCUGAGGGCACUGAACACAUCUCAUAUAGAAAGUCUGAGACACAGAAGUUAGAAUAGUCUUCACCUUUUAGCUAGUGUAGCCAACACCCAGCCUAGGCUAUCCCACAGAGAUGGGCUUCCGACCUGGAGCAUACCCGGCUCAAUUUUGCAAUCAUUUGUGAGUACAUGUUGGACUAGGUUAGAAUCAGGAAAGAAAGUCUGCCCAAGUAAUAAAGUCAAAUAUAGAAGUGUUGAAAGAAUGUCAUAAAAUUCCAUAAAGAAUUCCACAGAGGGAAACACUACAUGUGGCAUGCCAUAAAAGAAAUCCCCGGGCCAAGUCUUCACCAGUUCAGACCUGACAGCAUUCUAGGAAGACUUCCUGGAAGAGGUUCAGCUUUGAGCUGAGCCUUAAAAAUCAAAAUAUGGGGGGAUUCAGAAGCAGAAGAGAAAAGGAGGAAAUUCCUGGAGAGGGAGGGGGCUCAGCAGAAGCCACUGUGUUUCCAAGCUUGAGGCAGGAUAUACUGCAUAGAUUUAAAAGCCUGCAGAUCCUGGAGGAGCAGCCUGGCGAGACGGCUUGGCAGCCAUGAAGCAGAGCUGAAGGCUGGGCCACCGGCUGCCUGUGGAUUAAGUGGGUGGACAGAGAGCCAGUGAUGGGAGAUAAAAGGGAGUGAAGUGGGUAAUAUUUAGAAGCAAAUUCAGAGGGGAAGGAACGUCAGCCGUUCGGCUGGCAGCUGUGGUGCUCGCCAGCAUUCUUCAGUUUCCUCCCUAGGAGAGCUGCUUUACCAGGCAACCUCUUUCUGGCUUUGAGAGAAGUCCAAAUGGGAACUAUUAACAAAGGCACGCGCACGGUUUUAUCUCCAUCAGAAAGUGCUUUGGCGGCCUGAUUCUAGAGCUACAGUGAGCCACCCAAAAGCAGGCUGUGCUGAAUCUACCCCCUGAUUAAGGAUGUCAGAGACAAGAGAGUGUACCCUGAGGUCCACCCUGAGUGCCCAGUUUCCAUGGCCCAUGUUUAUUUCCUCCACCCACAGGUCUCUGGCCCAGAUGCUUCACUGCACUGCACUGUGGCUGUUCAAGUUAACGAGAAAAAAAAAGAAGGAGGGAAGGAAGGAAGGAAGGAAGGAAGGAAGAAAGAAAGAAAGAAAGAAAGAAAGAAAGAAAGAAAGAAAGAAAGAAAGAAAGAAAGAAAGAAAGAAAAGAGAAAGAGAAAGAGAAAAAAGAAAAAAGUGGUGAACCUUAAUGAAGAAGAGAAUCAAGCCUGGGCAGGGGUCAAGCAGACCACAACAGGUUAAGAGGCUCUCUCUGCUCUGCAGACUUGCAGCAAGAUUACCCACAUCCACUCCCAGGAACCAGCCAGCUUCCUGACAGGUAAGCAUUAGCCAUGGUCAGCCAAGGAUAAGCCUGCCAAAGAUGGAUAAGUCAAGCUUAAAGUUGUGGUGUGGGUUGGCUCAGACCCUCCAAAGUAUGGAGACAGACAUGAGGAUUACAGAAGGCAGAACAGAGUUGGCACUGGAAAGUGCCUAGCUCAAUACAGUGAUGGGGAAAAAAGAGAUAACAUAGGCUCGUGGAAGGAAAGUGACUAGUCUCACAUCAUUGGCAAGGUAGAAAAGGCAUGCUUGCUUUGAAUCAGAACUUCCUAUACUAUAUGUAUUGAAUGUCUGUGUCUCUCCAAAAUUUACAUGCUUACACCUAACCCCUGGAGUGAUGAUAGGGCUCUGACUGAUAGAGAUUGAGUCAUGGUGACAGAGCCUUGCAAAUUACUGACCUAAUAAAGAGGCUCAAGGAAAGUCACCAUUCUCUCUUGUCCCUUAUCACCAUGUGGUUUUAUCUAUGUCACCACAGAAGUUCCAUCUAUGAAGCACAAGCCUUCAUCACAUAUUGAAUACCUUGAUCGUCAACCUCAAAGCCUCUAGAAUCAUGAACAACUUAGUGUAAGAUGUUUUGUUGUAGUAUCUCUUAGGGACCAGAACAACUCACUUGAUGAUUUUGCUAUUUUGUGUCCCUACAGGAUGCAAUGAAGCUGUUGAAGUUUACAAAGGGAGGCCUGUUGCUGUGAUUUAUGCAUCCUUCCUUUAUACAUUCAUUUUCUCACCCAUGCUGGGUUAUAGAAGGGAAUAAAAGAUGCAUAUCAUA